RNAcentral lists this ribosomal RNA (253 nucleotides) under uncultured bacterium. RNAcentral's name for it is "partial 16S ribosomal RNA". It matches the Rfam family "Bacterial small subunit ribosomal RNA", at positions 524 to 776 of the family's 1533-position model. The record is from RNAcentral.
UACGUAGGGUGCAAGCGUUACUCGGAAUUACUGGGCGUAAAGCGUGCGUAGGUGGUUCGUUAAGUCUGAUGUGAAAGCCCUGGGCUCAACCUGGGAAUGGCAUUGGAUACUGGCGGACUGGAGUGCGGUAGAGGAUGGCGGAAUUCCCGGUGUAGCAGUGAAAUGCGUAGAGAUCGGGAGGAACAUCUGUGGCGAAGGCGGCCAUCUGGACCAGCACUGACACUGAGGCACGAAAGCGUGGGGAGCAAACAGG